AUCCGGCUGACGAGUCCCAAACCGAACGGAACGCGCAUCCUGGAU
RNAcentral lists this non-coding RNA (45 nucleotides) under Schistosoma mattheei. The record is from RNAcentral. Lineage: Eukaryota; Metazoa; Platyhelminthes; Trematoda; Strigeidida; Schistosomatidae.